GCGUGCCUAACACAUGCAAGUCGAACGCGAAAGUGGAGCAAUCCAUGAGUAGAGUGGCGAACGGGUGAGUAACACGUGGGUGACCUACCUUCGAAUGGGGGAUAACGUCCCGAAAGGGACGCUAAUACCGCAUAACAUCCUGCUUUUGAACAGGUGGAGAUCAAAGCCGGGGAUCGCAAGACCUGGCGUUUGAAGAGGGGCCCGCGUCUGAUUAGCUAGUUGGUGAGGUAACGGCCCACCAAGGCAACGAUCAGUAUCCGGCCUGAGAGGGCGGACGGACACACUGGGACUGAGACACGGCCCAGACUCCUACGGGAGGCAGCAGUGGGGAAUUGUUCGCAAUGGGCGCAAGCCUGACGACGCAACGCCGCGUGGAGGAUGAAGGUCUUCGGAUUGUAAACUCCUGUUGCCCGGGACGAAACGUUUCGACCUAACACGUCGAGACCUGACGGUACCGGGUGAGGAAGCCCCGGCUAACUCUGUGCCAGCAGCCGCGGUAAUACAGAGGGGGCAAGCGUUGUUCGGAAUUACUGGGCGUAAAGGGCGCGUAGGCGG
This 555-nucleotide ribosomal RNA is filed under the name uncultured earthworm cast bacterium. Its description in RNAcentral is "bacterial SSU rRNA". It matches the Rfam family "Bacterial small subunit ribosomal RNA", at positions 42 to 578 of the family's 1533-position model. The record is from RNAcentral.